GACGAACGCUGGCGGCGUGCCUAAUACAUGCAAGUUGAGCGCUGAAGGUUGGUACUUGUACCAACUGGAUGAGCAGCGAACGGGUGAGUAACGCGUGGGGAAUCUGCCUUUGAGCGGGGGACAACAUUUGGAAACGAAUGCUAAUACCGCAUAAAAACUUUAAACACAAGUUUUAAGUUUGAAAGAUGCAAUUGCAUCACUCAAAGAUGAUCCCGCGUUGUAUUAGCUAGUUGGUGAGGUAAAGGCUCACCAAGGCGAUGAUACAUAGCCGACCUGAGAGGGUGAUCGGCCACAUUGGGACUGCGACACGGCCCCAACUCCUCCGGGAGGCAGCAGUAGGGAAUCUUCGGCAAUGGACGAAAGUCUGACCGAGCAACGCCGCGUGAGUGAAGAAGGUUUUCGGAUCGUAAAACUCUGUUGGUAGAGAAGAACGUUGGUGAGAGUGGAAAGCUCAUCAAGUGACGGUAACUACCCAGAAAGGGACGGCUAACUACGUG
This 497-nucleotide ribosomal RNA is filed under the name uncultured bacterium. RNAcentral's name for it is "partial 16S ribosomal RNA". It matches the Rfam family "Bacterial small subunit ribosomal RNA", at positions 28 to 507 of the family's 1533-position model. The record is from RNAcentral.